GGCAAUUUGUCCGAGUGGUUAAGGAGUUUGACUUGAAUUGAACUAUUCUAGUUAUCAAAUGCGGUUUCCGCGCGUAGGUUCGAGUCCUGCAAUUGUCG
RNAcentral lists this transfer RNA (98 nucleotides) under Yarrowia lipolytica. It matches the Rfam family "tRNA". From Rfam's summary of the family: Transfer RNA (tRNA) molecules are approximately 80 nucleotides in length. Their secondary structure includes four short double-helical elements and three loops (D, anti-codon, and T loops). Lineage: Eukaryota; Fungi; Ascomycota; Dipodascomycetes; Dipodascales. The record is from Rfam by way of RNAcentral. RNAcentral also lists the same sequence under 1 other name.